AUUGAACGCUGGCGGCAUGCCUUACACAUGCAAGUCGAACGGUAACAGGUUAAGCUGACGAGUGGCGAACGGGUGAGUAAUAUAUCGGAACGUGCCCAGUCGUGGGGGAUAACGUAGCGAAAGCUAAGCUCAUACCGCAUACGAUCUACGGAUGAAAGCGGGGGAUCGCAAGACCUCGCGCGAUUGGAGCGGCCGAUAUCAGAUUAGGUUGUUGGUGAGGUGAAAGCUCACCAAGCCUGCGAUCUGUAGCUGGUCUGAGAGGACGACCAGCCACACUGGAACUGAGACACGGUCCAGACUCCUACGGGAGGCAGCAGUGGGGAAUUUUGGACAAUGGACGCAAGUCUGAUCCAGCAAUGCCGCGUGCAGGACGAAGGCCUUCGGGUUGUAAACUGCUUUUGUACGGAACGAAACGGUGAGCUCUAAUACAGUUUGCUAAUGACGGUACCGUAAGAAUAAGCACCGGCUAACUACGUGCCAGCCGCCGCAGUAA
Molecule: ribosomal RNA, 493 nt
Filed under: uncultured bacterium
Lineage: Bacteria
Description: partial 16S ribosomal RNA
Rfam family: Bacterial small subunit ribosomal RNA
Source: RNAcentral